AGAGCUUGAUCCUGGCUCAGGAUGAACGCUAGCGACAGGCUUAACACAUGCAAGUCGAGGGGCAGCACAGGGUAGCAAUACUUGGGUGGCGACCGGCGCACGGGUGAGUAACGCGUAUGCAACUUACCUAUCAGAGGGGGAUAGCCCGGCGAAAGUCGGAUUAAUACCCCAUGAAACAGGGGUCCCGCAUGGGAAUAUUUGUUAAAGAUUCAUCGCUGAUAGAUAGGCAUGCGUUCCAUUAGGCAGUUGGCGGGGUAACGGCCCACCAAACCGACGAUGGAUAGGGGUUCUGAGAGGAAGGUCCCCCACAUUGGUACUGAGACACGGACCAAACUCCUACGGGAGGCAGCAGUGAGGAAUAUUGGUCAAUGGCCGAGAGGCUGAACCAGCCAAGUCGCGUGAAGGAAGAAGGAUCUAUGGUUUGUAAACUUCUUUUAUAGGGGAAUAAAGUGAAGGACGUGUCCUUUUUUGUAUGUACCCUAUGAAUAAGCAUCGGCUAACUCCGUGCCAGCAGCCGCGGUAAUACGGAGGAUGCGAGCGUUAUCCGGAUUUAUUGGGUUUAAAGGGUGCGUAGGUGGUGAUUUAAGUCAGCGGUGAAAGUUUGUGGCUCAACCAUAAAAUUGCCGUUGAAACUGGGUUACUUGAGUGUGUUUGAGGUAGGCGGAAUGCGUGGUGUAGCGGUGAAAUGCAUAGAUAUCACGCAGAACUCCGAUUGCGAAGGCAGCUUACUAAACCAUAACUGACACUGAGGCACGAAAGCGUGGGGAUCAAACAGGAUUAGAUACCCUGGUAGUCCACGCAGUAAACGAUGAUUACUAGGAGUUUGCGAUACAAUGUAAGCUCUACAGCGAAAGCGUUAAGUAAUCCACCUGGGGAGUACGCCGGCAACGGUGAAACUCAAAGGAAUUGACGGGGGCCCGCACAAGCGGAGGAACAUGUGGUUUAAUUCGAUGAUACGCGAGGAACCUUACCCGGGUUUGAACGUAGUCUGACCGGAGUGGAAACACUCUUUCUAGCAAUAGCAGAUUACGAGGUGCUGCAUGGUUGUCGUCAGCUCGUGCCGUGAGGUGUCGGCUUAAGUGCCAUAACGAGCGCAACCCUUAUCACUAGUUACUAACAGGUGAAGCUGAGGACUCUGGUGAGACUGCCAGCGUAAGCUGUGAGGAAGGUGGGGAUGACGUCAAAUCAGCACGGCCCUUACAUCCGGGGCGACACACGUGUUACAAUGGCAUGGACAAAGGGCAGCUACCUGGUGACAGGAUGCUAAUCUCCAAACCAUGUCUCAGUUCGGAUCGGAGUCUGCAACUCGACUCCGUGAAGCUGGAUUCGCUAGUAAUCGCGCAUCAGCCAUGGCGCGGUGAAUACGUUCCCGGGCCUUGUACACACCGCCCGUCAAGCCAUGGGAGCCGGGGGUACCUGAAGUCCGUAACCGCAAGGAUCGGCCUAGGGUAAAACUGGCGACUGGGGCUAAGUCGUAACAAGGUA
Molecule: ribosomal RNA, 1485 nt
Filed under: metagenome
Description: bacterial SSU rRNA
Rfam family: Bacterial small subunit ribosomal RNA
Source: RNAcentral